Molecule: ribosomal RNA, 754 nt
Filed under: uncultured archaeon
Lineage: Archaea
Description: bacterial SSU rRNA
Rfam family: Archaeal small subunit ribosomal RNA
Source: RNAcentral
GGUUGAUCCUGCCGGACCUGACUGCUAUCGGAUUGGUACUAAGCCAUGCGAGUCAUUGUACAAUACAAGGCGGACGGCUCAGUAACACGUAGUCAACCUAACUCGUGGACGUGGAUAACCUCGGGAAACUGAGAAUAAAACACGAUAGAUCAUAGUGCCUGGAAUGGCUUAUGGUCCAAACAGUUUACUGCCAUGGGAUGGGACUGCGGCCUAUCAGCUUGUUGGUGAGGUAAUGGCCCACCAAGGCGAUUACAGGUACGGGCUCUGAGAGGAGAAGCCCGGAGAUGGGUACUGAGACACGGACCCAGGCCCUAUGGGGCGCAGCAGGCGAGAAACCUUAGCAAUGUGCGAAAGCACGACUGGGUCAGUCCGAGUGAUUCCUGAUAAAGGAGUCUUUUGCUUGUCCUAAAAGCACAAGUGAAUAAGGGGUGGGCAAGUCUGGUGUCAGCCGCCGCGGUAAUACCAGCACCUCGAGUGGUCAGGACGUUUAUUGGGCCUAAAGCAUCCGUAGCCGGCUCUGCAAGUCUUCGGUUAAAUCCACCUGCUCAACAGAUGGGCCGCUGGAGAUACUACAGAGCUAGGGAGUGGGAGAGGCAGACGGGAUUCAGUGGGUAGCGGGUAAAUCUCUGGUCCAUGAUGGCCCCAGUGCCAAGGCGGCUGCCGGACACGUUCGACCGGUACGGUGGGAGUGGGGAGCAACGGAUUUGUACCGGUUAUCCAGGUUAACAUGCCACCGCGGUGCUGGUUUUGGCAU